AGGGGCGUAGCUCAACUGGUAGAGCACCGGUUUCCAAAACCGACGGUUGCGGGUUCGAGUCCUGCCGCCCCUG
RNAcentral lists this transfer RNA (73 nucleotides) under Micromonospora lupini. Its description in RNAcentral is "tRNA-Trp". It matches the Rfam family "tRNA". Rfam says of the family: Transfer RNA (tRNA) molecules are approximately 80 nucleotides in length. Their secondary structure includes four short double-helical elements and three loops (D, anti-codon, and T loops). Lineage: Bacteria; Bacillati; Actinomycetota; Actinomycetes; Micromonosporales; Micromonosporaceae. The record is from RNAcentral. RNAcentral also lists the same sequence under 2 other names.